GUAAACGUUUAACAGCCUCUUCGUAUAAGCGAGGACGCGUCAUGGUAGAAAUGGGAUCCAUAGGGUAUUUAGCAAUAGAAGUCAAAACAUAAGUAGCAAUUGUAAGUCCAAAAAUACCAGGCAUAGGUCCUAUUACAGGAAGAAUACGAGCACGGAAUUCGGGUAAAGCACUCAACUCAUCAACGUCUCCUUUUUCAAACUCUUCCUCAGAGAGAGGUAACAAACUUGCUUUUCUAGGAUCUGGUUUUUCAGUAGAAAAUACGACAGGAAUACCUUCCAUAAUACCAAGGAGACGCAACCUACGACGAGUAGCUCUUGAUAAAGGAUCUUCAGAAGUAGCUGAUAUAUCUGCUAUGUUAACACGAGUCGGAUCAGAUUUGCAUGCAGACCCGGUAGAAGCAAUUACGGGAAGUUUGUGGUUGUAGCAAUAACUUAAUAAAUCAACUUUAGUUUGGAUGUUAUCUAUAGCGUCGAUUACAAAAUCAGGAUUGCCAGACAAAAGAUCGUCGGCGGAGUCGGGAUUGAAAAGUGCGUUACGAGCAUCUACUUCAAUCCAAGGGGCAAAUUUUUUAAUCGCCUUUUUUAUAGCAAGAGUCUUUGGAGUACCAACAUCUUGCAACGUGGCUAUGGAAUGACGAUUUAGGCUACUAAGAGAUACUUGAUCAAAAUCGACAAUUCUAAUUUUUUGCACACCAGAGCGUGCAAGCAUAUUAAUCACCCAGCUUCCAACACCACCACAGCCUACGACGAUAACAAAAGAGUUGCGCAGACGCUCCAUACCGUCUUCUCCAAAAAAUGCAUAAUUUCGAGCCAGCUGUUCACGUAUCAGAUUUUCAUCGUACGGAACGCCUUUGCUUAUUCCUUCAUCCUCUUCCCCAGCAUCAUAAAUUUCUAUAGGUACACCAGAAGAAGAAAGUUGAAUACUUUUACCAGCUUCAGGAACAAUCAUCGACUGUAAGCGACGAAUUGAGCGAUGUUUACGAAACUCCAACGUUCCAAGGAUUACGCAUGCUGUCGUUACAGAAGAGGAGACAGCAAUCCAAAAGGAUUUAUACGUUAUCCACGAAGGGACUUUGAAACCUGCCAUAAUGCUAGUAAAAUCAAAUAGAAAGAAAACUUCGACUUGCAGCGUUUCCAUUUUCUUUAAGUGACAAGUUGCCUUAACAUUAGUGCAAUCGGUCUUUGCAACAGUAAUUGCAGCCUAUAAUGAUUAAGGUAUUAGAAAACGGCAUUUACAUUAUUCAAUUUAAUGAAAUAAAAACAAGUCGUGUUUGUCUCUAUGCUGAUAAAUUCAAAAGCUGGAAUAUUUGGUAUAUGUACGAGAACCUAUAUUAAAAACUUGUAAUUCAAUUCUUUUUUUACUAUAAGUUCUCGUACAUACAAUUAGUCUGUGUAUGUAUCGGUUUAUGCCGUAUAGGAAUUUCAUCAAAACGUAAAUAAAUGAAUUAGGAGGAGACUGGAUGACUAACAAAAACUUUUAAACUUAUCUGACUUGUUUCAAUAAUUA
Molecule: non-coding RNA, 1507 nt
Organism: Schizosaccharomyces pombe (fission yeast)
Lineage: Eukaryota; Fungi; Ascomycota; Schizosaccharomycetes; Schizosaccharomycetales; Schizosaccharomycetaceae
Source: the annotation of a GenBank genome assembly